This 255-nucleotide ribosomal RNA is filed under the name uncultured bacterium. RNAcentral's name for it is "partial 16S ribosomal RNA". It matches the Rfam family "Bacterial small subunit ribosomal RNA", at positions 524 to 776 of the family's 1533-position model. The record is from RNAcentral.
UACGUAGGGUGCGAGCGUUGUCCGGAAUUACUGGGCGUAAAGAGCUCGUAGGUGGGUUUGUCGCGUUGUUCGUGAAAACCGGGGGCUUAACCCUCGGCGUGCGGGCGAUACGGGCAGACUUGAGUACUGCAGGGGAGACUGGAAUUCCGUGGUGUAGCGGUGGAAUGCGCAGAUAUCAGGAGGAACACCGGUGGCGAAGGCGGGUCUCUGGGCAGUAACUGACGCUGAGGAGCGAAAGCGUGGGGAGCGAACAGG